GAUACAGUGAUGAUGAAAUCCUGGAUGCAUUACAGAUUUUUAGGAAGUAUCACCUGAGAGGUCAUUUUCAUGGAAACCCUCGAGAAAAUACAUCAAGGAUUGGACCACCAAAUGAGCAGCUGAAAGUGAGGAUGCUGAAUCUGCCCAACAACGUCCCCACUUCUGUGGCACCCUCAGUUUUUUGUCAUUGUCUAUCUCAUCAAUAAAAGAAUAUUUUAAAUUAAUGGUGCGUGUUAUAAUUAAUUGUAUGAUGUAACAAAAAAUUUUAGAGAGGUCAGUUCUAGAAAAAGAAAUGUAAAAAACAUCUUGGAUAUUACUCUAUCUUUGUUUUCUCUUCACAUGUUAAAAAAUAAAAAAAAGAAAUCACAGAUAGCAGAUUUGAAGGUAUUGCUGUAAAAGUAUAAUUCGAGUUUCUCUCAAAUUAAAUAAAAAAUGUGUUGACCUGAGGAGAACAGAAAUCAAUAGCUCAGAAGAAGAGCGUGAUACUCACACUUCCGCUCUCCAAUAUCAUUCCUUUAACUCGUUUUUCUCCUUCUCCAAAAUUCUAGGCUGCUCACACAUCCCAGACUGUUCCUACAGGGAUGGGUGUGUGCUGUCCUGGUGUGCUAACACAUGGUUUGGAGGAGAAGGAAGAUAUGGCGUAGAACUGGAGGCUGAAGUCAGAAACCUGCAUGUUAAUGUGAAAUUAUUCACUUUUUACACAUGGGCUGAUGCUGAAGGUCUGAUGCUGAAGCUGAAUCUGCAGUCAUUGGAAAAGACCCUGAUGCUGGGCAAGAUUGAAGCCAAAAGGAGAAGGCAGCAGCAGAGAAUGAGAUGGUUGGAUGACAUCACUGACUCAAUGGACAUGAAUUUGGGCAAAAUCCAGGGGAUGGAGAAGGUCAGGGAAGCUGGGCAUGCUGCAGCCCAUAGGGUCACAAAGUCAGACACGACUUAGCAACUGAACAACAGCAAAACAUGGGCACCUAAUUUGAAAAACAAAAUACUUUAGAAGCCAAACAAAACAUGUCUGCUAAAUGCAGUCUGCAACUCUGGCUAAACUAGUGGCCAACUUGAGCAACACCAGAUAAAAAGAUGUACAGGUAUAUCACAGAGGAGUGUUAAGAAGAGCUGCUUAUCAGACAUUCUGGCUAUACCGCUACUGGGUGAUUACAAUCCAUCUAAAAUAUUGAAUGUUUAUGUUAAUGGUGAAUAAAUACAGUCUAUGAUUUUAUCAUCUCUAGUGUUUUACAUUGAUGGUAAUUGAUAAUUACUUCCCACUGCCGUUUCUGAAACACUCCGGGGUAGGAGCUGAGCUUUGAUGUGCUCUUUUGAAUACAUGUGUGCUGUACGGGAAACAUCUGAGUCAGGACCCUGCUAGGCCACGACUCGUUUCAUAUGUGUGUUUCAUGUUCAUGACUUUUUGUGGUUCAAAAUCACGUCUUGCGUCUUUUGUCUCAAUCAUUCAGGGUAAGGACAAAAUGAAAAUGAAAAAGUCUUAUGAAAUGAAAAAUGAUGAAAGUCUUAGACAAGAGUUCCCUUGAGAAGGAACCGCCACCGCAAGCAGUUUGUUCUCCUCUCACACUGAUGUUGCAUCUUUAAUCUCUCCUUUUCGGAGAGACAAUGAAUGAUCAACGUCACCAGUCACCGCGGGCCUUCGCGCUCCGUGAUUUAGACUCUCACUAGCUGAGAGCAGGGCAGAAGGAGGAUUUGACAACUUUGAACUUUCUAUGUGCUUUUUGCCUUCGCCACAGUUGUUAUUAGAGUUCUAAAAAGGCAACAG
This is a long non-coding RNA of Capra hircus (goat), 1759 nucleotides long. Lineage: Eukaryota; Metazoa; Chordata; Mammalia; Artiodactyla; Bovidae. The record is from Ensembl.